GGCGAACGCUGGCGGCAGGCCUAACACAUGCAAGUCGAGCGCCCAGCAAUGGGAGCGGCAGACGGGAGAGUAACACGUGGGAACGUACCCUUCAGUUCGGAACAACCCAGGGAAACUUGGGCUAAUACCGAAUACGUCCGUAAGGAGAAAGAUUUAUCGCUGAAGGAUCGGCCCGCGUCUGAUUAGCUAGUUGGUGAGGUAACGGCUCACCAAGGCGACGAUCAGUAGCUGGUCUGAGAGGAUGAUCAGCCUCACUGGGACUGAGACACGGCCCAGACUCCUACGGGAGGCAGCAGUGGGGAAUAUUGGACAAUGGGCGCAAGCCUGAUCCAGCCAUGCCGCGUGGAUGAUGAAGGCCCUAGGGUUGUAAAGUCCUUUCGACGGGGAAGAUAAUGACGGUACCCGUAGAAGAAGCCCCGGCUAACUUCGUGCCAGCCGCCGCCGUAA
RNAcentral lists this ribosomal RNA (447 nucleotides) under uncultured bacterium. RNAcentral's name for it is "bacterial SSU rRNA". It matches the Rfam family "Bacterial small subunit ribosomal RNA", at positions 28 to 523 of the family's 1533-position model. The record is from RNAcentral.